GUUUGCUUGUGGAAUAAUGCUUGGGCAAUUCUAUCAUGGAGAUGACUUGACUUAGAGCUGCUUAGAAUGUAUUUGGACAUGUUGGUAAUUUUUGUUGUAAUUUGGAAUGUUGUAAUGGUUGACGUAUGAAUGUAGGGUUGUGAUUUUGAAUGUAUGAAAUAUUGGAUUGUUGAUGUAUAUAUAUGGUUUAGUGGUGUUAUACCCCAAAAUCUAUCCUAUUAUUC
RNAcentral lists this long non-coding RNA (224 nucleotides) under Lathyrus oleraceus (garden pea). RNAcentral describes it as "Pisum sativum (pea) long non-coding RNA (PSAT_LNC016045)". The record is from RNAcentral. Lineage: Eukaryota; Viridiplantae; Streptophyta; Magnoliopsida; Fabales; Fabaceae.